Molecule: ribosomal RNA, 253 nt
Filed under: uncultured bacterium
Lineage: Bacteria
Description: partial 16S ribosomal RNA
Rfam family: Bacterial small subunit ribosomal RNA
Source: RNAcentral
UACGUAGGGUGCAAGCGUUGUCCGGAAUUAUUGGGCGUAAAGAGCUCGUAGGCGGCUUGUCACGUCGGGUGUGAAAGCCCGGGGCUUAACCCCGGGUCUGCAUUCGAUACGGGCUAGCUAGAGUGUGGUAGGGGAGAUCGGAAUUCCUGGUGUAGCGGUGAAAUGCGCAGAUAUCAGGAGGAACACCGGUGGCGAAGGCGGCUCACUGGACCGGAACUGACGCUGAGGCGCGAAAGCGUGGGGAGCAAACAGG